Long non-coding RNA from Sciurus carolinensis (gray squirrel), 708 nucleotides. RefSeq lists it as uncharacterized. The transcript is spliced from 2 exons. The record is from RefSeq and is a predicted model, not a curated record. Lineage: Eukaryota; Metazoa; Chordata; Mammalia; Rodentia; Sciuridae.
GGGGCACCGUCCCCAGGCAGCCAACAAAGAUUAAUCCCUGAAGCCAGUGGUGACAGUGGCACAGCAUUGAAAGCUGCUGCCAAGUGCCAGCCGGGGUCCUGGUGGAGGCUGAACCCCGGCACACCCGCCCCCGCGGCCAGCCUCCGGUUCUGUUCCAAUGGCAGUGAAGGCUGCCAGCUCUGCUGGACGUCUCCUGACGCACCUCCUUCUUGCCCAGAGCCCAGGUGAGCACUGGGGAGCUCCACGGAGUGCAGGACCCCCAGGGAUGCUCAGCACGGUCAGCUCCAGGCCGCUGGCCCCAGAGCCCCUCCUGUCCUCCCGGCUGCUCCCACUCGUCCCGGAGAGCAGGAAGGACCAGGCGCUUGUCCUGGUGCAAAGCUUACGGGGCUGCUAAGACAUCACCAAUCGAGAAGGACAUCGUAGUGUGAUCGCACUCACGACCCGCGUGGGCCAGGAGAAGGGUUCCUGUCGGGGGGACCGGCCGGCUACGAAAUAAAGCCAUGAAAGUACCGUAUCAGGAAACAGGACGAAAGGCAGGGUGCUGUUGAAGCAGGGGCGAGACCCACGAGCCAUCCAGGAGGGCCUGCUCCAGCAAAGCAGGGCGAGCUCUGUUUGCAGCGGUACAGGUCGGAGGGGACCGGGGCGUCUGGUCUCUCUGCUUGCUUCCCAUGUGGCAGGGGUCUUGCAGUAAACACGGUAUUUGGUGUC